CAGCGAUUUCAGCGCUCUGGCAUCGGCUGCUUCUUCUCUCCUUAGGACUCGAGAUUUUUCCCGCACUUCACUUCCCCUUCUCUUCCCAUUCUUCUCUUCGUUUCCAUCUUUGAGCGAAGAUUCUUGGGCUUUUUUCGCUAGAUAUUUAUUGCGAUCUCUACUAAAUCAACUUCCAAUAUAGGAAAAACCGGUGAAGGAUCGAAGACUGAGGUUUAUACAAUUAGGAAGAAUCUAGUAUUUUAUUCCUCUUCCUAUUUUGCUUAUUUUCUUUCUGCUCCUUUUUUUUAAGUCUUCGUCUUCCUCUUUAAGCCUCUUGCAUUCUUGUUUCUUCAGAGUUCUUUCUUCAUACACCAUAAAUUGAGCUUGCUUUGUCGAAAGGGUUUUGUUCAAAUCCUGCGAGGUGCAAUAUUUUUUCAAUUCAAUUUUUCCUUUUACGCCUUUUAGGCAGGUUUAUGAAUCAGCUUUCUCUUUCGUUAUCUCCGAGUAUUAGUCUUAUUCGUCUUCUUCUUCUUCUUCACGGCUCUUUGCCUUUUUCUUUUCUGUGUUAUCUUUUUUUCUCUUUCUUUUGAUGAGAAUAAAGAAUCAGGGAAGUUAAGAAAACACUUCCACAAGAGGAGAUGAUGGACCACAGUAUCCUAUGUCCUAUGAAAUAUACAGAACACAGAAUAGUUACUAAGAAAUUCACAAAACCCUCCUUAAAGUCCAAAAAGGUCUCUGAUGAAAGGAGUAGAUUAGAGCACAACCCACCAAGACUUGUACGGAUAUCAGUCACAGACCCAGACGCUACCGACUCCUCCAGCGACGAAGAAGGUGAGUUCUUUGCCCGCAAACGAGUGAAGCGGAAUGUGAACGAGAUUAGCAUCGAAGCUAGCUGCAAAGACACUGCUGCUGCCGUUUCCAAUGGGCGAAAAAGACCUGCUAGUGUGCUUCCAGCAUCCCACCGGCCAAUCAAACUCAAUACAGCAAAUACCAAUGGCAGAAAGUUCCGUGGAGUCCGACAACGGCCGUGGGGUAAAUGGGCUGCUGAGAUUCGAGAUCCUGCGAGGCGUGUGCGGCUAUGGCUAGGCACCUAUAACACUGCUGAAGAAGCUGCUAUGGUUUAUGACAAUGCUGCAAUCAAGCUUCGAGGACCUGAUGCUUUAACCAACUUCAUUACGCCUCCAGGCAGAGAAAAACAACAGGAAAAAGCUGAAGCAGAACAAGUAGAAGACAAGCCAAAAAUUAAUGUGACCUCAGCUUCUAGCAAUGAGUCUGGCGAUGAGUCUCACAAUCUCUCAUCUCCAACUUCUGUGCUGAACUUCAGAGCUCACUGCAGUGAAGAAUCUGAACUGCAAAAGCUGGUUGUACCGGUAGAAAAAUCAAACAUAAAAAGUGAAACGGUUAAAGAAGAGUGUGAACAGAAAACAAACGUAUCCGAUGAAUCAGCAGAGUAUCUAUUACCGCUGGACUUGCCAUUCUUGGACGAUUUCUUCAAUUUUUCAAGCACAGGACCUUCACUCUUCGAUGACGCGAUAACAACAAAAACAAACACCGUUUCAAGUGAAGAUUUCAGCGACAUAUCCCUGGACACACCCCAAGAAUUCGGAUCAUCUUCAUCAUCAUCCAUGUGCCAAGACGGCGACUUUUCCCAAGACAUCGGAGAUUUCUUUUUCUCGGAACCACUAGUUGCUCUUUCAAAUGUCUAGUAGUGACCAGUGGCCGCCGUUUUGCUUGCCGAUUUCACGGCAAAUUUUGUACUGGUGGCAAUUUUUUUACCUCUAGUUUUUUUGUUGUUAACAUAAUAUUAGUAUAUAUUUAUUUGUUAAGAAUAUAUCCGUUCUAAAGACUGGACGGAUAAUCGAGUGAGCUUUGCUAAGAUUUUGUAUUGUACUUGAUAUCAUCUAAUAAUAACAAUAAUAAUUAGUGAUGCUAAUGAGAGCGUAUAAUUUGCAAUUAUUUUUG
RNAcentral lists this unclassified non-coding RNA (1941 nucleotides) under Hevea brasiliensis (rubber tree). The record is from RNAcentral. Lineage: Eukaryota; Viridiplantae; Streptophyta; Magnoliopsida; Malpighiales; Euphorbiaceae.